GACGAGCGCUGGCGGCGUGCUUAACACAUGCAAGUCGAACGGGCCCGCCCCUGUUUUUGGGGGUGGGUUGAGUGGCGAACGGGUGAGUAUCACGUGAGUAACCUGCCCCCUGCUCCUGGAUAACUGCUUGAAAGGGCGGCUAAUACGGGGUGUGCCGGCUGGUCCGCAUGGGCCUGGUCGGGAUAGUUUCAUCUUCGGGUGUUUCGGUGGGGGAUGGGCUCGCGGCCUAUCAGCUUGUUGGUGGGGUGAUGGCCCACCAAGGCGGUGACGGGUAGCCGGCCUGAGAGGGUGGGCGGCCACACUGGGACUGAGACACGGCCCAGACUCCUGCGGGAGGCAGCAGUGGGGGGUAUUGCACAAUGGGCGGAAGCCUGAUGCAGCGACGUCGCGUGAGGGAUGGAGGCCUUCGGGUUGUGAACCUCUUUCUCCGGUGGUGAAGGCCCUGUCCGUUGCGGCGGGGUUGACGGUAGCCGGGUAUGAAGCGCCGGCUAACUACGU
Molecule: ribosomal RNA, 498 nt
Filed under: uncultured bacterium
Lineage: Bacteria
Description: partial 16S ribosomal RNA
Rfam family: Bacterial small subunit ribosomal RNA
Source: RNAcentral